AUCCUUCUGUGGUACCCAAGCAUGACGAGGGGGUUUUCAUGCUAUUCUGAGAUGUAUUUCCCAACAAACUGCCUACAAUGCCUGCACAUCAGCCGUCUGACU
Octodon degus (degu) is the source of this 102-nucleotide small nucleolar RNA. RefSeq annotates it as small nucleolar RNA U13. NCBI's taxonomy places the organism in Eukaryota, Metazoa, Chordata, Mammalia, Rodentia, Octodontidae. The transcript has a single exon. The record is from RefSeq and is a predicted model, not a curated record.